Non-coding RNA from Cinara cedri, 253 nucleotides. Lineage: Eukaryota; Metazoa; Arthropoda; Insecta; Hemiptera; Aphididae. The record is from the annotation of a GenBank genome assembly.
UUGCGGAAUUCCACUACUUACAUUAGGUUCACUGUAAAUCGAUAUUCACUAACCUAAGCCAUCGAGUAAAUUAACGGAAUUAUCGAAAAUGUUUAAUAACAUACCUAUAUUUAUACGCGUUGAAAAAUAAUUCCAGUUUUUCUAUAAGCUAUAGUCUGUCCCAGGAGAGAACGGUCCGCUCUCCGACCAAAUCGAAGCGCUACUGCGCAUCCCCAUGCCGCAACACAAUCCAUUUAUUCCCUCCCGGAUCUAU